UUCCAGCGUGGCAUGCUCGGCCGAACGCAGCAGGUCUUUCGCGCCCGCGAUGCCGUGCGGCGCAUGGCGGGCGAUGUCCCGCGCAUAGGCCAGGGCC
This 97-nucleotide transfer RNA is filed under the name compost metagenome. RNAcentral describes it as "tRNA-Glu". The record is from RNAcentral.